This 28-nucleotide non-coding RNA is filed under the name Mus musculus (house mouse). Lineage: Eukaryota; Metazoa; Chordata; Mammalia; Rodentia; Muridae. The record is from RNAcentral.
GAGAGAUUCUCUGUUUGGGCUGCACUGU